RNAcentral lists this ribosomal RNA (345 nucleotides) under Eupolybothrus fasciatus. RNAcentral's name for it is "partial 12S ribosomal RNA". Lineage: Eukaryota; Metazoa; Arthropoda; Chilopoda; Lithobiomorpha; Lithobiidae. The record is from RNAcentral.
UCUAAAAUGUAAAUUUUAUUAAGUAUUAUUAGUGAUUGAAACUUAAAGGGUUUGGCGGCGUUAAUAGUCAGUUUAGAGGAGUCUGUAUAGUAAUCGAUAAUCCACGGAAAAUCUUACUAGAAUUAGUAUUAAUAAUUUGUAUAUCGUUGUCGAAUAAUUGAAUCGGAAGGUUUCUUUUUUGAUUUUAAUGGAAAAAAUGAUAAAUCAAGGUGCAGUUUAUUUUCUAGAAUUGAUAUGGACUACAUUUUCUUUAGAAUCGGAUAUAGAAUUGUAAGAUUUUAUUGAAGUUGGAUUUAAUUGUAAUAUUUUUAUAAUAUGGAAAUAUGAAUAUGCUCUGAGGCGUGC